This 250-nucleotide ribosomal RNA is filed under the name Ateleute sp. 20 BFS-2018. Its description in RNAcentral is "partial 16S large subunit ribosomal RNA". Lineage: Eukaryota; Metazoa; Arthropoda; Insecta; Hymenoptera; Ichneumonidae. The record is from RNAcentral.
AAGGUAGCAUAAUCAAUAGUUUUUUAAUUGAAAGCUGGAAUGAAGGAUUGAAUGAGAUAAUAAUUGUCUCAAAUUUAUUAAUAAUAGAAUUUUUUUUUUAGUUAAAAAACUAAAUUGAUUUUUAAAGACGAGAAGACCCUAUAGAUUUUUAUAAUUUAAGAAAAAAAAUUAGUUUAAUAUAAAUUAAUAUUUUUAUUAAAAAUUAUUAGGUUGGGGAAAUUAUUAAAUUAAAUUAAUUUUAAUAUUUAAU